Non-coding RNA from Theobroma cacao (cacao), 661 nucleotides. The record is from RefSeq and is a predicted model, not a curated record. NCBI's taxonomy places the organism in Eukaryota, Viridiplantae, Streptophyta, Magnoliopsida, Malvales, Malvaceae.
AGGGUUUAGUAUGGAAAAAAUAUAAGUCCCAACUUGAGCCUUACUUUUUAUUUUUCAUUACUUCAGCCUCCAUUCACUCUCCAACAGCCCCCAAACCCUCCUACAACCAUCAAAGACCACAUUAGCAAGGAUUCAACCUUCCAAAUUCGAAUCUAAGGGGUUUUACUCUUCAAAAAUGUUAUGGAGAAACUAGGCGACUUAUGGUAUUUGUUGUGCAAGGUGAUUGAUGGAGCUUGAGACUGUAGGCAAGCAAGGUUUUGGCAACACGAAGCUUAGGAAAGAAUAUGCUUUUUGUCAAGAUUAGUAGCUCACUUGGCUUGACGCCUUGUGGAGGAGUAGCUCAACUUGCAUUUGAUAGGUGUGAUAAUGACUUCCUUCUAACCUUCUAGUGUCGUUACAAUCCGUAUUGUGUUGAGUCUAGUCUUACAUUGUUUGUAUUAAAUGUUGACAUUUGGUAUUAUAAAUGAGUAUUAAGAUACUCAUGUUUACUUUAUGAUUGUGGAUUAUUCUAUUGAACACAAAAAGGGUGCAUAGAUGAUGAUACCUAUUGAAAGGACCAUAUAUGAUAAUGAUAUGUGAUUCGUGUUGGACCACAAAAACUAUAUGUUAUUCUACAGUUUUGAUUAAACAAAUGAAAUGCCACACUUUACGUUGAGAAGUU